RNAcentral lists this ribosomal RNA (492 nucleotides) under uncultured bacterium. Its description in RNAcentral is "partial 16S ribosomal RNA". It matches the Rfam family "Bacterial small subunit ribosomal RNA", at positions 29 to 507 of the family's 1533-position model. The record is from RNAcentral.
AGUGGACGCUGGCGGUAGGCCUAACACAUGCAAGUCGAACGGCAGCACAGUAAGAGCUUGCUCUUACGGGUGGCGAGUGGCGGACGGGUGAGGAAUACAUCGGAAUCUACUUUUUCGUGGGGGAUAACGUAGGGAAACUUACGCUAAUACCGCAUACAACCUACGGGUGAAAGCAGGGGAUCUUCGGACCUUGCGCGAUUGAAUGAGCCGAUGUCGGAUUAGCUAGUUGGCGGGGUAAAGGCCCACCAAGGCGACGAUCCGUAGCUGGUCUGAGAGGAUGAUCAGCCACACUGGAACUGAGACACGGUCCAGACUCCUACGGGAGGCAGCAGUGGGGAAUAUUGGACAAAGGGCGCAAGCCUGAUCCAGCCAUACCGCGUGGGUGAAGAAGGCCUUCGGGUUGUAAAGCCCUUUUGUUGGGAAAGAAAAGCAGCAGGUUAAUACCCCGCUGUUCUGACGGUACCCAAAGAAUAAGCACCGGCUAACUUCGUG